This 60-nucleotide transfer RNA is filed under the name Alectorobius spheniscus. RNAcentral describes it as "tRNA-His". The record is from RNAcentral. Lineage: Eukaryota; Metazoa; Arthropoda; Arachnida; Ixodida; Argasidae.
AUCUAAUUAGUUUAUUAAAAAUAUUAAGUUGUGGAUUUAAAGAUGUAUUAUCAUUAGAUA